Molecule: long non-coding RNA, 621 nt
Filed under: Gopherus agassizii (Agassiz's desert tortoise)
Lineage: Eukaryota; Metazoa; Chordata; Testudines; Testudinidae
Description: lncRNA (ENSGAGG00000006685.1)
Source: RNAcentral
GAGACAUGCCAGCAGUCGUCCAGUGCUCGGGCUCGGGAGAUGGGGAGAGGUUUUCUAUACAAGUGGGACCGGUUGCCUAACGAGAGGCUGGACUUGAAUGAGAGCCAGACGCAAGGCGACAUUAACUGACUGCCCCAGUGCAGGGCCCAGACAGAGAAAGACAAGAACGAGGGUGCGGGCUGUCAUCCUGGGGAGGACCUGCAGGGCACAGAGGCGGGGAAGGACCUGUUGAAGAGGUAUGCAGACAAGAAGGUCAUCUCCUUCGAGGAAUACUGGGAGCUGGUCGCCUUUGUCUGCCAAACCAUCCAGUGUAACAAUUACAGCAAACGUGGAAGGAAGCCGGCCGAGAUGGCUGGGAAAUGCUCUGAGCUGGAGAAAGGCCUCUAUGCCAUCGUGGGCAGCUUCUACAAAUACGCUAAAGAGAAAGGCGGAGCCCAGGUGCUGGACCAGGCGGCUUUCCAGAAGUUGCUCAGCAACGAGCUGAGCCAUCAGCUCACGGUGAGACCCGNCUUUCCAGAAGUUGCUCAGCAAUGAGCUGAGCCAUCAGCUCACGGUGAGACCCGGCUACUUGCCAAUUGCUCACUGAUGGCAAAGGAGGGGUCUGGCAGUGCCCCUCAAUCC